RNAcentral lists this ribosomal RNA (477 nucleotides) under Sphyraena jello (pickhandle barracuda). RNAcentral describes it as "partial small subunit ribosomal RNA". It matches the Rfam family "Bacterial small subunit ribosomal RNA", at positions 788 to 1491 of the family's 1533-position model. The record is from RNAcentral. Lineage: Eukaryota; Metazoa; Chordata; Actinopteri; Sphyraenidae.
CACUAUGCUCAGUCGUAAACAUUGAUCGAACUCUACAACCCCGAUCCGCCUGGGAAUUACGGACACUAGUCUGAAACCCAAAGGACUUGGCGGUGCUUUACAUCCACCUAGAGGAGCCUGUCCUGUAACCGAUUCUCCCCGUUAAACCUCACCCUCUCUUGCUCUUUCCGCCUAUAUACCGCCGUCGUCAGCUUACCCUGUGAAGGUCCAAUAGUAAGCACAAUCGGCACAGCCCAGUACGUCAGGUCGAGGUGUAGUGAAUGAGAGGGGAAGAGAUGGGCUACAUUCGCUAACAAUAGCGAACACGAAUAUUGCAUUGAAACAUGCAACUGAAGGAGGAUUUAGUAGUAAGCCGGAAACAGAGUGUCCUGCUGAAAUUGGCUCUAAAGCGCGUACAUACCGCCCGUCACCCUCUCUAAGUCUACAGAACUACCUUUAUCUAAAACCUUUCAACUGCAAAAGGGAGGAAAGUCGUAA